CGACGGGGGCCCGCACAAGCGGUGGAGUAUGUGUUUAAUUCGAUGCAACGCGAAGAACCUUACCUGGUCUUGACAUCCCGGAGACCCUUAGGAAACUAGGGGGUGCUUCCAUCUGGAAGAAUCUGGAGACAGGUGCUGCAUGGCUGUCGUCAGCUCGUGUCGUGAGAUGUUGGGUUAAGUCCCGCAACGAGCGCAACCCUUGCCUUUAGUUGCCAGCAGUUCGGCUGGGCACUCUAAAGGGACUGCCGGUGUUAAACCGGAGGAAGGUGGGGAUGACGUCAAGUCCUCAUGGCCUUUAUGACCAGGGCUACACACGUACUACAAUGGCCGAUACAAAGGGCAGCGACACUGCGAGGUGAAGCCAAUCCCGUAAAAUCGGUCUCAGUCCGGAUUGGAGUCUGCAACUCGACUCCAUGAAGUUGGAAUCGCUAGUAAUCGUGGAUCAGCAUGCCACGGUGAAUACGUUCCCGGGCCUU
RNAcentral lists this ribosomal RNA (476 nucleotides) under uncultured Desulfobulbus sp. Its description in RNAcentral is "bacterial SSU rRNA". It matches the Rfam family "Bacterial small subunit ribosomal RNA", at positions 912 to 1382 of the family's 1533-position model. The record is from RNAcentral. Lineage: Bacteria; Pseudomonadati; Thermodesulfobacteriota; Desulfobulbia; Desulfobulbales; Desulfobulbaceae.